This 672-nucleotide ribosomal RNA is filed under the name uncultured bacterium. RNAcentral describes it as "bacterial SSU rRNA". It matches the Rfam family "Bacterial small subunit ribosomal RNA", at positions 66 to 720 of the family's 1533-position model. The record is from RNAcentral.
ACGGAGAGUUAGCAAUAACUCUUAGUGGCGAACGGGUGAGUAACGCGUAGACAACCUACCUUUUAGAUGGGGACAACAAUCCGAAAGGGUUGCUAAUACCGAAUAAGGUCCUUUGGGCGCAUGCCUGAGGGAAGAAAGGCGGCCUCUAUAUAUAAGCUGCCGCUAAAAGAUGGGUCUGCGUCUGAUUAGCUAGUUGGUGGGGUAAAGGCCUACCAAGGCAACGAUCAGUAGCCGGUCUGAGAGGAUGAACGGCCACACUGGGACUGAGACACGGCCCAGACUCCUACGGGAGGCAGCAGUGGGGAAUCUUCCGCAAUGGACGAAAGUCUGACGGAGCAACGCCGCGUGAGUGACGAAGGUUUUCGGAUCGUAAAACUCUGUUGUCCGGGACGAAAGAGCUUUAUGUAAAUAGCGUAGAGCAGUGACGGUACCGGAAAAGAAAGCCACGGCUAACUACGUGCCAGCAGCCGCGGUAAUACGUAGGUGGCGAGCGUUGUCCGGAAUUAUUGGGCGUAAAGGGCGUGUAGGCGGGAUAGUAAGCGUAAUGUUAAAGUCCGGGGCUUAACCUCGGAUCGCAGUACGAACUGCUAUUCUUGAGAGCAGGAGAGGAAAGUGGAAUUCCCAGUGUAGCGGUGAAAUGCGUAGAUAUUGGGAGGAACACCAGUGGCGAAG